AACAUCGCGCACCUGCGGGAACCUGCGGAGGGAUCAUUACAGAGUUGCAAAACUCCCUAAACCAUUGUGAACGUUACCUAAACCGUUGCUUCGGCGGGCGGCCCGGGUCCUUCCCGGCGCCCCUCGGCCCUCGCGGGCGCCCGCCGGAGGUAAACCAAACUAUUGCAUUGUAUGGCCUCUCUGAGUCUUCUGUACUGAAUAAGUCAAAACUUUUAACAACGGAUCUCAGAUCGGAGAGCA
This 240-nucleotide unclassified non-coding RNA is filed under the name soil metagenome. RNAcentral's name for it is "partial contains 5.8S ribosomal RNA, internal transcribed spacer 2, and large subunit ribosomal RNA". The record is from RNAcentral.